Xyrichtys novacula (pearly razorfish) is the source of this 75-nucleotide non-coding RNA. The record is from the annotation of a GenBank genome assembly. NCBI's taxonomy places the organism in Eukaryota, Metazoa, Chordata, Actinopteri, Labriformes, Labridae.
GCAAUGAUGAAUUUGUGGUUUUGAUCAGUGAUGAGCUGAAACUACAAACCUAGUCCUCUAAGAAGUUCUGAGCUC